Molecule: ribosomal RNA, 449 nt
Filed under: uncultured bacterium
Lineage: Bacteria
Description: bacterial SSU rRNA
Rfam family: Bacterial small subunit ribosomal RNA
Source: RNAcentral
CCAGACUCCUACGGGAGGCAGCAGUGGGGAAUAUUGGACAAUGGGGGGAACCCUGAUCCAGCGACGCCGCGUGAGUGAAGAAGUAUUUCGGUAUGUAAAGCUCUAUCAGCAGGGAAGAAAGAAAUGGCGGUACCUGACUAAGAAGCCCCGGCUAACUACGUGCCAGCAGCCGCGGGAAUACGUAGGGGGCAAGCGUUAUCCGGAUUUACUGGGUGUAAAGGGAGCGUAGGCGGUUUAGCAAGUCAGAAGUGAAAGCCCGGGGCUCAACUCCGGGACUGCUUUUGAAACUGUUGAACUAGAUUGCAGGAGAGGUAAGUGGAAUUCCUAGUGUAGCGGUGAAAUGCGUAGAUAUUAGGAGGAACACCAGUGGCGAAGGCGGCUUACUGGACUGUAAAUGACGCUGAGGCUCGAAAGCGUGGGGAGCAAACAGGAUUAGAUACCCCAGUAAA